UACGUAGGGGGCUAGCGUUGUCCGGUAUCAUUGGGCGUAAAGCGCGCGUAGGCGGCCCGGUAAGUCCGCUGUAAAAGUCCAGGGCUCAACCCUGGAAAGCCGGUGGAUACUGUCGGGCUCGAGUCCGGAAGACGCGAGUGGAAUUCCUGGUGUAGCGGUGGAAUGCGCAGAUAUCAGGAGGAACACCGAUAGCGAAGGCAGCUCGCUGGGACGGUACUGACGCUGAGGCGCGAAAGCGUGGGGAGCGAACAGG
RNAcentral lists this ribosomal RNA (253 nucleotides) under uncultured bacterium. RNAcentral describes it as "partial 16S ribosomal RNA". It matches the Rfam family "Bacterial small subunit ribosomal RNA", at positions 524 to 776 of the family's 1533-position model. The record is from RNAcentral.